UUUAAAAGUUUGAAAAGGUGA
Molecule: non-coding RNA, 21 nt
Filed under: Caenorhabditis elegans
Lineage: Eukaryota; Metazoa; Nematoda; Chromadorea; Rhabditida; Rhabditidae
Source: RNAcentral